CCCUUAGAUGUUCUGGGCGGCCCGCGCACUACACUGGCACUCUCAAUCAGAGCCUAGAUCUAACACUUUGGGGUAUUCUAUGAAGAGGUGUCGUGACUGGGAUUAACCCUUGCAAUUAUUGGUUACGAACGAGGAAUUCCUUGUAAUCGCGGUUUAUCAGCCCGCGUUGAAUGCGUCCCUGCCCUUUGUACACACCGCCCGUCGCACCUACCGAUUGGAUGGUCCGGUGAAGCCUCGGGAUUGUGGUUCUUGCCGCUUUAUUGUGGCGUGACCGCGAGAACUUGUCUAAACCUUAUCAUCUAGAGGAAGGUGAAGUCGUAACA
Molecule: ribosomal RNA, 323 nt
Filed under: uncultured eukaryote
Lineage: Eukaryota
Description: partial 18S ribosomal RNA
Rfam family: Eukaryotic small subunit ribosomal RNA
Source: RNAcentral